UCUAUUCUUUCUUUAAAAGUU
Molecule: non-coding RNA, 21 nt
Filed under: Caenorhabditis elegans
Lineage: Eukaryota; Metazoa; Nematoda; Chromadorea; Rhabditida; Rhabditidae
Source: RNAcentral